This 163-nucleotide ribosomal RNA is filed under the name uncultured bacterium. RNAcentral's name for it is "partial 16S ribosomal RNA". It matches the Rfam family "Bacterial small subunit ribosomal RNA", at positions 355 to 509 of the family's 1533-position model. The record is from RNAcentral.
UAGGGAAUCUUCCACAAUGGGCGCAAGCCUGAUGGAGCAACACCGCGUGAGUGAAGAAGGGUUUACGGCUCGUAAAGCUCUGUUGUUGGAGAAGAACGUGCGUGAGAGUAACUGUUCACGCAGUGACGGUAUCCAACCAGAAAGUCACGGCUAACUACGUGCC